Caenorhabditis elegans is the source of this 72-nucleotide transfer RNA. NCBI's taxonomy places the organism in Eukaryota, Metazoa, Nematoda, Chromadorea, Rhabditida, Rhabditidae. The record is from Ensembl.
GCCUGCGUAGUAUAGUGGUUAGUACUCCACGUUGUGGCCGUGGCGACGCUGGUUCGAUUCCAGCCGCAGGCA